CAUUCUCAGCUGUUCACAGCCCUUGUCUUUGACUUUUAUGAUCUCAUUAGCUCACAAGGGAAAGUGUUGGACACUUUGCCUCACUUAAGUCUGAAACAAGACCCUGUGCUUCUAUUGUUAGUGUUUGUUAUUUGUUAUUGUAUAAGGUCACUUGUAAGUGACUCUUGGGAGGUGUUGGGUUCUUUUAGAAAGUUUAUCUCUCCCUUGCCUUGUCUUACUCACAUUGAUACACUGUCUAUGGACAGAGUAUGGCCAUUGCAUUGGUUUGUUUAACCACUAAUGUGACGACAGCAAAGUAUGCAGACUUGAAGAAUCUAAAGACAGCAUCAUCUGUGUGAUAAUGGAUCCACCACUGCUCUGAAAACAAGCAAAGCAGCAGAAAGCUCACCCUUUACUGCCUAUAUCAAGAACUACAUUGGAGAUAGAGGAAACUAAAUCACACAAAAACUUGAAGAUGCAUGGCAGCUAGGGGUUUCACUCCUCAUCCAGUCCUUUCU
Long non-coding RNA from Periophthalmus magnuspinnatus, 497 nucleotides. RefSeq lists it as uncharacterized. The record is from RefSeq and is a predicted model, not a curated record. Lineage: Eukaryota; Metazoa; Chordata; Actinopteri; Gobiiformes; Gobiidae. The transcript is spliced from 3 exons.